This 218-nucleotide unclassified non-coding RNA is filed under the name Hevea brasiliensis (rubber tree). Lineage: Eukaryota; Viridiplantae; Streptophyta; Magnoliopsida; Malpighiales; Euphorbiaceae. The record is from RNAcentral.
GGGAUCGACUACCGCUUCGAUACGUGCUCGCAGACACCGUACGUGUACAACCCCACGACCCAGGUCAUGGUCUCGUACGACGACACGCGCUCGUUCGCGGCGAAGGGCCAGUUCAUCAACGAUCAGAACCUCCUCGGCUUCGCGAUGUGGGAGGCCGGGGGCGACUACAAGGACAUGCUCCUCGACGCCAUCUCGGGCGCGAUCGGCAUCGUUGAGGU